UACGAAGGGUGCUAGCGUUGUUCGGAAUUACUGGGCGUAAAGCGCGCGCAGGCGGUCCUUUAAGUCAGGGGUGAAAGCCCAGAGCUCAACUCUGGAACUGCCUUUGAAACUAGAGGACUUGGGUACGGGAGAGGUGAGUGGAAUUCCGAGUGUAGAGGUGAAAUGCGCAGAUAUCAGGAGGAACACCGGUGGCGAAGGCGGGUCUCUGGGCAUUAACUGACGCUGAGGAGCGAAAGCAUGGGGAGCGAACAGG
RNAcentral lists this ribosomal RNA (253 nucleotides) under uncultured bacterium. RNAcentral's name for it is "partial 16S ribosomal RNA". It matches the Rfam family "Bacterial small subunit ribosomal RNA", at positions 524 to 776 of the family's 1533-position model. The record is from RNAcentral.